UUUAGAGUUUGAUCCUGGCUCAGAUUGAACGCUGGCGGCAGGCCUAACACAUGCAAGUCGAGCGGUAACAGAUCCAGCUUGCUGGAUGCUGACGAGCGGCGGACGGGUGAGUAACGCAUAGGAAUUUACCCGAUAGUGGGGGAUAACCUGGGGAAACUCAGGCUAAUACCGCAUACGUCCUACGGGAGAAAGGGGGCCUUGGCUCCCGCUAUCGGAUGAGCCUAUGCCGGAUUAGCUGGUUGGUGAGGUAAUGGCUCACCAAGGCGACGAUCCGUAGCUGGUCUGGGAGGAUGAUCAGCCACAUCGGGACUGAGACACGGCCCGAACUCCUACGGGAGGCAGCAGUGGGGAAUAUUGGACAAUGGGGGCAACCCUGAUCCAGCCAUGCCGCGUGUGUGAAGAAGGCCCUCGGGUUGUAAAGCACUUUCAGCGAGGAAGAACGCCUGGCGGUUAAUACCCGCCAGGAAAGACAUCACUCGCAGAAGAGCACCGCA
This 494-nucleotide ribosomal RNA is filed under the name Halomonas sp. M3S-105. RNAcentral describes it as "bacterial SSU rRNA". It matches the Rfam family "Bacterial small subunit ribosomal RNA", at positions 1 to 497 of the family's 1533-position model. Lineage: Bacteria; Pseudomonadati; Pseudomonadota; Gammaproteobacteria; Oceanospirillales; Halomonadaceae. The record is from RNAcentral.